GCAGUAGGGAAUAUUGGGCAAUGGAUGCAAGUCUGACCCAGCCAUGCCGCGUGCCGGAUGAAGGCCCUCAGGGUUGUAAACGGCUUUUAUCCGGGAAGAAGAGCAGGGAUGCGUCCCUGUGUGACGGUACCGGAUGAAUAAGCACCGGCUAACUCCGUGCCAGCAGCCGCGGUAAUACGGAGGGUGCGAGCGUUGUCCGGAUUUAUUGGGUUUAAAGGGUGCGUAGGUGGCUUUUUAAGUCAGUGGUGA
This 249-nucleotide ribosomal RNA is filed under the name Dyadobacter psychrophilus. Its description in RNAcentral is "partial 16S ribosomal RNA". It matches the Rfam family "Bacterial small subunit ribosomal RNA", at positions 351 to 597 of the family's 1533-position model. Lineage: Bacteria; Pseudomonadati; Bacteroidota; Cytophagia; Cytophagales; Spirosomataceae. The record is from RNAcentral.